CACCGCGGUCAUACAAGAAACCCAAAUCAAUAGACAUCCGGCGUAAAGAGUGGCCAUAUGUUAUCUACACCCACUAAGAUCAAAAUGUAACCAAGCUGUCAUAAGCCCAAGAUCCACCUAAGCCCAACCCCAAAGCCAUCUUAGCACCUAUGACUAAUUUUAACCCACGAAAGCUAGGGUU
Molecule: ribosomal RNA, 181 nt
Filed under: Bambusicola thoracicus (Chinese bamboo-partridge)
Lineage: Eukaryota; Metazoa; Chordata; Aves; Galliformes; Phasianidae
Description: partial 12S rRNA
Source: RNAcentral